Molecule: transfer RNA, 94 nt
Filed under: Virgisporangium aurantiacum
Lineage: Bacteria; Bacillati; Actinomycetota; Actinomycetes; Micromonosporales; Micromonosporaceae
Description: tRNA-Gly
Source: RNAcentral
CGACGUCGUGGCGCGGUUGUCCUACGGGCCACCGGCCCGCACCGGGGGGACCGUGCACGGUCUGGUGUCGGCGCGGGCCCGGCGGACGCCGACC